RNAcentral lists this ribosomal RNA (651 nucleotides) under uncultured Neocallimastigales. RNAcentral's name for it is "eukaryotic LSU rRNA". The stretch from base 226 to 380 matches the Rfam family "5.8S ribosomal RNA". Lineage: Eukaryota; Fungi; Neocallimastigomycota; Neocallimastigomycetes; Neocallimastigales. The record is from RNAcentral.
GACUGCGGAGGAUCAUUAAAAAAUAAUCACAGUUUUGUGAUUCUAAUAAUCAUCCUACCCUUUGUGAAUUUGUUUUGUAAAGAAAUUUAUGUUGUCUAACCCUUGGAUUAUUUGGAAAAGUUGAAAGACUUUUUCAUUUACCAAGGGAAUAGGCUUUCAUAGACAUUUUUUUAAAUUAAACAUUUGUAUUCAUUUGUCUAAAUUUAUUUUUAAUAAUUUAAAAACAACUUUUGACAAUGGAUCUCUUGGUUCUCGCAACGAUGAAGAACGCAGCAAAAUGCGAUAAGUAAUGUGAAUUGCAGAAUACGUGAAUCAUCAAAUCUUCGAACGCAUAUUGCACUUUUCUAGUUUAUUAGAAAAGUAUGUCUGUUUGAGUAUCAGUAAAAUAUUCUCAUAAAAAACAUUGUUUUUUAUGGUUAUGAGUGUUUUACAACGAUAAACAAGUUGUUUCACUUUAAAUUGAUUUUUAAAAGCCAAUUUUGGUUUUAUCUAAUAAAAUUGGAUAAAAUUUUCCCGUAAAAGGGAAUAAACUUUUCAGUUUUAAAGGGUAAAACUAGUUGUGCCUAAUUAAAAGGAAAUUUAACCAAAAUAACUUGAUCUCAAAUCAGAUAAGAGUACCCGCUGAACUUAAGCAUAUCAAUAAGCGGAGGA